This 163-nucleotide ribosomal RNA is filed under the name Davilanthus purpusii. Its description in RNAcentral is "5.8S ribosomal RNA". It matches the Rfam family "5.8S ribosomal RNA". Rfam says of the family: 5.8S ribosomal RNA (5.8S rRNA) is a component of the large subunit of the eukaryotic ribosome. Lineage: Eukaryota; Viridiplantae; Streptophyta; Magnoliopsida; Asterales; Asteraceae. The record is from RNAcentral.
AAACGACUCUCGGCAACGGAUAUCUCGGCUCACGCAUCGAUGANGAACGUAGCAAAAUGCGAUACAUGGUGUGAAUUGCAGAAUCCCGUGANCCAUCGAGUUUUUGAACGCAAGUUGCGCCCGAAGCCAUCCGGUUGAGGGCACGUCUGCCUGGGCGUCACGC